Molecule: RNA transcript, 373 nt
Organism: Propithecus coquereli (Coquerel's sifaka)
Lineage: Eukaryota; Metazoa; Chordata; Mammalia; Primates; Indriidae
Gene name: signal recognition particle 19 kDa protein pseudogene
Exons: 1
Source: RefSeq, a predicted model, not a curated record
UGUGCGGACACCUGUGAGGAUGGCUUGCGCAGCCGCGCGGUCCCCAGCCGACCAGGACAUGUUUAUUUGUAUCUAUCCUGCCUAUUUAAAUAAUAAGAAGACCAUCGCAGAAGGAAGGCGGAUCCCCAUCAGUAAGGCUGUUGAAAAUCCUACAGCUACAGAGAUUCAAGAUGUAUGCUCAGCAGUUGGACUUAAUGUAUUUCUUGAGGUAAGUCAGUAAUGUUGUACGCAGCGGAAAUGAUACCUAAACUAAAAACAAGGACACAAAAAACAGGAGUUGGUGACCAAAGUCUUCAGCAAGGAGAGGGAAGUAAAAAAGGGAAAGGAAAGAAGAAGAAGUGACUUACUAUGAGCAUCAUUUAUGUGAUAGUAC